RNAcentral lists this ribosomal RNA (405 nucleotides) under Triticum aestivum (bread wheat). Its description in RNAcentral is "partial small subunit ribosomal RNA". Lineage: Eukaryota; Viridiplantae; Streptophyta; Magnoliopsida; Poales; Poaceae. The record is from RNAcentral.
AUGAUUGAGCACCUUGAGGCCAAAGUGAGUGCUGACAGCGCGAGAUCUCACCCUCUCAUCGAUUUGUUCAUACCAACCAUCGACAACGAGCACGACAUAUGCUACACCCAUCCCGAGAAACUUCCAGCGCAACUCCAGGGCGUUCAAAAGGGGCACAUGGACGCGUCGCAAGAUACAGUCGGAGUGCGGCAUGCACGCGAUGUGGCACAAGACCGGCAAUACCUUGUCGGUGAUGGUCAAUGGCCGGCAGACGGGCAGCAAAAAGGUUCUGGUGCUGCACACCAACAAGAACUUCGACCAGUAGAGGACCAACUAGGUGAUGAACCAGUACCACCUCAGGGACUUGGAGCAAGAGAAGGAGCGGGAGCUGGUCCUCUACAAGAUUUUCUACCAGACGAACACUAG